GGAUGGGUGUCCGAGUGGCUAAAGGAGGCAGACUGUAAAUCUGUUCGCUAACGCGUACGCUGGUUCGAAUCCAGCCUCAUCCACCA
Molecule: transfer RNA, 86 nt
Filed under: Polaromonas sp.
Lineage: Bacteria; Pseudomonadati; Pseudomonadota; Betaproteobacteria; Burkholderiales; Comamonadaceae
Also listed under: 2 other names
Description: tRNA-Tyr
Rfam family: tRNA
About the family: Transfer RNA (tRNA) molecules are approximately 80 nucleotides in length.
Source: RNAcentral